GAUCUCUCUUAUUAGUUAUCGUAACAUAUAUUACCCUCGGUUAGUGUUUCAGAUUCAGUAUCUAAGACUAAUUUCAUAUAUAUAUUAAUGGGAAUCAGUUGUUCAUAUUUUUUUAUUCAAUAAAUGAAUGGGAAUCUUAGUAAAAAAAUUACUAUUAUAUUGUGUUGGUGUAAAUUUUCUGCUAGAUCCAGAAUUGACUCUGGAUAUACUCAGGUAUUCAUAACUAGAAAAGAUAAAAAAAGAAUAUCUAUAUAUAUAGUUUAGUUACAUAUUGAUGUAGGACAAGGAUGG
RNAcentral lists this long non-coding RNA (291 nucleotides) under Panax ginseng (ginseng). Its description in RNAcentral is "long non-coding RNA (PGIN_LNC017242)". The record is from RNAcentral. Lineage: Eukaryota; Viridiplantae; Streptophyta; Magnoliopsida; Apiales; Araliaceae.